Molecule: long non-coding RNA, 1158 nt
Organism: Catharus ustulatus (Swainson's thrush)
Lineage: Eukaryota; Metazoa; Chordata; Aves; Passeriformes; Turdidae
Exons: 2
Source: RefSeq, a predicted model, not a curated record
GAAGUCUUUGAAGGAAGCUACAGGGCACAGCUGCAGACAGACUCUUGGAAAUCAGGGGGAAAAAACCGAAAGUUUUCAGUCUUUUCAGUCAAACUCCAGGGAGAGUUUGAACUUCCCAAAACUGGCUGAUGUGAUGGUGGUGGUUAAGUCUGCCUCUUAAAUCCUCUGGCAUUUCACAACAGGCCAAGAUCCCAGUCUAGGCCUGGCUUUGUGUCAUGCCUGGCUCUGUGUGUGUUUGCACACCUCUCCUGAUUUUUAAAAAAGAUUCUUUGUAUUUAAGAAUAUGAAGUUAUAAAAUUAGGGUUUCUGAAAACAGGGAAUUCUCUUGGUGGCAUUUAGUCUUCACUACUGAAUUAUCUCUGUACCUCAGUGGGUGACAGUGGCACUUAUAAAUUGUUCCACAACAUAGCUACUGGCAUCUUGCAUCAUUCUGUGUUUACACUGGUGAUCUGUGAAGGUUUAUCAGUGUUUGAUAAAGGCUUGAUAAUGGGCAUGUGAUUUUUAAGGGACAGAUCAGUCUCAGACUGGAGAUUCACUGAUGCACACCUGUUCAUUCACACUUUUCUCCACAGCAUCAGUCCUGUGUCUCCAGCAGGGGCAGUUCUAAGGCAGAAGGUUGUACAUAAAUUUCCAGAGGUGUUUUGGACAGUCCCUUCUUGCUGUGGGAGGUGGCUGUUGGGUCAUGCAGUUGAGAAGGUGACUUGCUUUCCUUGCUGAAACAGUGGCCUCUGGAAUUGAGGAGCUGGCACUGGAGAGGGGUGAGGGUGAGGAUCACUGUGACCAUUUUGUUCCUGCUGUCUUUCAGGAUGAAACUCGCAGGGAGAUGGUUUAUGUGUAUCAUUGCUUAAAGAACAGGAGAGAGACUCACAUGAUGGGGACAGAGGAUGACACUGCCAGUGAGGAUGGCCUGGCACAGCAGACUCAUGGGCUGCGGUUCCCUUUGUCACACUUGGAUGCACUGAAGCAGAUCUGGAGUAGCAGCACUGUCAAUGUUAAAGAGCUUAACCUUACCUCAGAUGAGGAGAAAGUGAACCUUGCCUUGUCACUCUGGACUGAAUGUCUGAUUGAAGUUCUUUGAUGCUUUUGGGAAUUAGCUGCUCCUUGCUAUUAAGCAUCUCUUGAGAGCAAGGUUUAUUAAAUUAGUUUUUUUUAAAUCCA